RNAcentral lists this long non-coding RNA (685 nucleotides) under Gossypium barbadense (sea-island cotton). RNAcentral describes it as "long non-coding RNA (GBAR_LNC018368)". Lineage: Eukaryota; Viridiplantae; Streptophyta; Magnoliopsida; Malvales; Malvaceae. The record is from RNAcentral.
AAAGCUUGCUUACUAAUUAUAUUUUCUCGAAAUUCAUAUUGCUAUUCAAGAAGUUACAAGUACAGUAUAAGGCCCAAAAAAUGCUUGAAAAACCGUAGUAAUCUCAACCCUAGUCAUUUGCCACAAACGGAGUCCAAGUGUUGCCGCAACACCUCUGGCAUGCACGCCUCCAUCAAGGGAGGUCAUGUCACAGUAGAGCCGCAAAAGAAGCGUCGACAGCCACCUUGCAUUCGGGCAGAGAACCAAAGAAGGGUCGGUCGACUUAAACUUGAGUUGAUCCAGCAACCAAAUUUGUUGGGCUUGAGAGUUAACAUCGCAACUGUUCUGGACUCCAUGUUGCGGAGAGUCAGAGACACAAUACUGACGGUACAUAACAUGUACAGGCCCAAUUUUGCCCGAGCCCAGUACACUCAAAGCAGAUCAAGACCAAACUAAAAGUCAAUAAACAGUCCAAAUUACAAAUCAGCAGGCCUAGACCAGCAAAAUAAUAAAACAAGCCCAAAACCUAUAGCCCAAUAUUCAAAAACCCUAGCCCAACACCCAAUAACAGAAAACAACAAUCCCUAACCUUAGGUGCGCCGCACCUAGGGCCUGCUGGUCAACCACCCGCCGCUUUAGCAGCCACCAAAUCCUGCUACCGCCACCUACUCUCUGCCACCGCCGUCGUCCACUUGCCUCAGAGAAA